Molecule: long non-coding RNA, 7226 nt
Organism: Clupea harengus (Atlantic herring)
Lineage: Eukaryota; Metazoa; Chordata; Actinopteri; Clupeiformes; Clupeidae
Source: Ensembl
ACCCCACUCGCACGAGUACUAUAUUGCUUUUAUAAAACAAUUUUAUAGUCAACCAAUUCACAUUUAAACACGAAGUUAUUGAUUAAAAAAUGUUUAUUUCGCCCUUGUUUCUCCGCAACAAAAAAUAGAUUUCAGCAAAAGUUGAGGAAUCACUCCAUGGUACAGUGGUACAAAUUCCUAAAUAGCUGGUCUUGCUGUAUGUAUCAGGGCUUAUGGAUUACGCCCAUCAUAAAAAAAGUUUACAUUUUUUUUUUUUUAAAUAUAUGUAGUAUUUGGACACUAAUUUGUUUUGAUGGCAUUUCUGUGAAAAAGGCAGACAACUUCGACAGAAUAGUCACUGUAUGAAAUAGCUUAUCAGCUGCUCUGAUACAUUUUUACCCUGUCGCUGUCCUUAAACCAUGAAUUAAGGCAUGUUGACACAAGCAAUAAUCACUGCAUUAAUUACACCAGAUGGAUAAAAACCACCAGACAGGAAUUAAGAGCACUGUACCAUAAAGUGACACCCAAACAAGCACCAGCCUUGACAAAUACAAAUAGUUAAUGGAUAACUCACAAGACACACAUUUAUAGAGCAGAAAAUAAAGCCCAGACUUGGUGGAAUAAAAGAUAACCUACAGAUGUUCAUAAUAUCAACUGGAAUUGUCUAGAAAAAUAAACUCCACUGUGUUUAUAUGGGGCUUACUUAUUGGUCUUACUUCAUUCACGUUGGCUGUUCUGAUAGGAAGAUGGCUUUCACCCCGGGGCAGACGCUGAGUAGACCCAAAAAUAACUCAAUUUCUGUGCCGCAUGGAGGUGAAAGACUCAUUCAGAUGUGUACGACAAAGACAACGUUCAGCACAUACCUGCUUCAUCCUCAUUGACACAAGCACAAAAUACGACUGAACUGGCAAAAAAUAGGACCCUCUCAGACUAUUUCUGCCUUCUUUAUUUCUUUCUUCCGGUGGCUUGUCAAUUGGAAUUCAGUCCUUAUCUCCUGAGAGACUGCUCUGUCAUAUCUAAAAUAACUGCAUAAUAUUGAGUCGCAUUUGCAGCCUCGACUUCGAAUUUCACAGAAACAUAGAGAGAAUGCAAGACUAAAAGAAGUGAGAAACAUUAAAUCUGUCUCACACACACACACACACACACACACACAUAAGAACCAGAGGACCAAUUUAAAGUUUCAGAGUCAACUGCAAAGAGUUCAUAUUCAGCUAAAACGUGUGUGUUUGAAGUUGACCUUGAGAGGAGAAAGGGUGCAAAUGACUGACCAAACUUUACUGGGCAAUCCAGAGAUGAAUACGGUAUGGAUAGGCUCAAACUACAUUACUUAUUGUACUUCAAGAUGGUGGCCUGGUCAAGUCACAUGAAUUUAUAUGAACUGCCAAUCUGGUAAGUAGAUACUGCCAAUACAUGAUCCUACUUUACUAAUGAUAGCGUAUAUAAAAUAACCUUUAUUAAUCCCACACAGGGAAAUUAAAGAACGAGAAGUAUGAGAAAACUCCAUUAAAGUAUACUACUAUAGUUAUGAAAAAAUACAGUAUCAUAAUGUGUGUCAUUUUUCUGCUCUUAUGGUAUAUAUAUAUGAACAUUCCUUGCAGUGGCUGUUUUGGUAACGGAUGCCCCAACAGUGAUGAAUGAAGUAAUGCAGUCAGUAAGUACUGCCAUGCUCGGGCCAUAUUCUCUUUGUGUUUUUUAAGUAACAAGGGCCAAACAUUUGAAUUAUGAAACUUAGUAUAGGUAUACAAACCAGUUAAAUAAGAGGGCCAGAGUAACAAUGCCAGGAAUGUGCUUCAACUUUACAAUGUAAAUAAAAACUAUUUUCUUUAUCAGCUUCGCCAUUAGGCCACAAACAUGAAUCUAUUUCUUAUUUUUAAAAUAUAGUAAAUCCCGCUAUGAGAACUGUUUGUCAAUAAUGCAAAAGUUUAGUGCUAUACACACAAGUAUUACUACCUCUUUAAUGUAAUACAAGCAAGGAUAUUAAUCACAAAUCUAAACAAAUUCAACCUAAUCUCAAAACAAAAUCACACAAAACUUUGGUCACACUUCAUGGUAAGUAAAUAUUAAACAUAUAUAAAGAGAGCCUGUAUAAAGUUUGAACAAUAUCUUGCAUUUGUACAUAUAGGAACUUAUGUUUGCCAUACAGUUCAUGCUUCAUACAACAGUUGUGUUCAUGUGUGUGCUAUGAAGAUCCCAUACAUGGGUUCUGAAGUAAAAUUACAUUUUCAACAGUCAGUCAAGUUUCACUUAAAAAAAAGAAAAAAAAGAGAGAGAAACAAAUAUCCAGUCCAAUAAAUAGGCCACAAUGAUAGACAUACUGACAUGAAGGAGAUGCACAAAUCUGAUGAACACUCCAGUUUGCUUGGAACCUGAGAUGCCUUCAAAGUUUCAUGCUAACAUUUUCUUCUAUGAAUUACCCUGUUUGUCCAAGGACGCACAAAAGACAGAGACACAAAGAUAGAAAGAAAGAAAGAGAGAAAGAAAGAAAGACAGAAAGAGAGAAAGAAAGAAAGAAGAAAGAAAGAAAGAAAGAAAUUAAAAAGAAAAUUAGAAAUAAGAGAGCAAGAGAUAAAUUGAGAGAUGUUGUGCCUUUUCAUAUCUGCUCCCUUGGAGCAGGGGUCAAACGUGUGUGUGCUGCUACUGAAACAGCUUUAACAGAGUGCCAAAUUUGGGCUGACAGUCCUCACAGUUAGGUAGUCUCGAGCUUUAGCUAGUUAGAGAAUCCUGUGUUGAUGUAAACCUUACGUCUGCACACAGAGAGAACCUCUGUGUCUAUGACCACAGCUGUUUGAGUUCGAUCAAGUCAGACGACACAGUAUCAAGUCACACGCUCGGCAACAAAAAAGGUAAUCCAAGUGUUAGGAUGACUGAAGGAGAGUGUGUGUGUCACACAAACAUCAAGGUGAAAUUGCUGAGUCAUCAUCUGCAUGAAAGUCCCAACAUAUCAAAGACAUCAAAGGCUGACAUGGCUUACUCACUUUCUGGGAACGAAUUCAAGUUAAUUUUAGCUUCACCGCACUCUCAAAAAGAAUGCAGGGGCAGACAUCACAUCAUCAAUACGCACAUCUGCCAUGGGAGCCAAUAGUCGAAACGCUUUCGUUUUUUUGUAUUUAUAUUUGAUACCAUUUACUGUAUGAAUUAUUGAUGGUAGGUUUGUGGCCAAAUAUUUGUGGUUAAGUGAUUCUGGGAAAUUUAGUCCAUUAGGCAGGCCUCUCAGCCUUGCAUUGAUCAUUCGGAGAUGCCGCCUACUCAGUAGGAACUGAUCCUUCCUCUUGGAACAUGGGACUUGUGCUGUCAGAAAGGAAAAAUAUCCAUGAAAGUCAUCUGGGAGUGACUGUGGUUUGUGGUAGGAGAUCCUUGUGGGAAAUGUUGCGUGCAUGGAGAGAAAUUCAUUGCCGUCUGUGAGGUAUUUGUUGUAAGGUGUCUCAGCUGUACAGAGACAAGAAGAUGAUAGCUGUAGGCAGUAUUGCAGUCAGUGUGUGUUGUGUGAGAGAGAGAGAGAGAGAGAGAAAGAGAGACCUGUGGUUUUUAUGGGGGUGCAAAGGGGGGGUGGGGGUGGAGAGAGCCUUGGGCAUCUGUGAGAUGGUGAAUGGGAGAUGAGGCAGGCUGUCUCUUUCGAUUGAAGACUGUGACUGUGGACUGUCCUGGAUGGGUGUGUGUGGGGUGGGGGGGGGGGGGGUGUUGGGUGAUGCUGGAGGGGUCCUUCACUCAGAGUCGUCCUCGUCGCUGCCUGACAGCAGGUCCGCCAGAUCGGCUGCCGUCAGACUCAGAGCUGCAGCUUCAGACAGCGCCGGUCCGGAGCGGGACUCUGCCAGUCUGAGAAAUAGAAACAGAAAGAGAGAGAGAGAGAGAAGGAAUGAUGGAUAAAUGGAGGGAGUGGAAGAGAAAGAGAGAUGGAUAGAGUGAAGGAAGGAAGAGAAGGUGAAAAUGAGAGACAUGUGGAAUAGUGACGUUUUAGAAGAAAGAGAAGGAAGCCAAGCCGUGAGUGAAAUAAGCGAAAGGGAGAGGAAGAGAAAGAGGGAGUCAUGAAAUCGUGACAUUUUUUCAGAAGAAAGAAAACAUAAAAGAGCAGAGGUAUAAGAAAACGAUGAAAGAGGGGAAAAAUAAAGACAACAGAAAUCUGAGAGGACGAUGAAAAAAAACUCGUCAUUUUAACUGAAUUAUUGAUCACAGAGUGAAACAAACACCCACAACCACAGCGGAGGGAAAACAAAAACAGCACAGCACAAUGGCAGAGAUUAUUACUAACAUUUAUCCCUGCAUGCUCCCAACACGCAACACAAACAGCUACACCAACCAGACUAGUUAUGGAGAAACCCAUUCAUUAUAACCCCAGAUAUCUGGCAGUCAGAUACCUUGUGUUCAAACUGUACAGCCUCCCAUACUCUAUGUACACAACCAAAUGAAAAGACACCACAAAUGACCUACAUCACAUGACUAAAUGGCAAAAACAAGGUUAUUAAUAUUGACUACAUGGAAGCUUAAAGCAGCGUUUCAGUGCACUAAGAGCUAUAGUUUGAUAUGUAAGCGGUUUCAUACUUAUUCCAGCAUGCCAUGCUCUAUAUGCACACUAUGGAGACACGAGCUUAUAACCUUAUGGGUGUCCUACAAGAUGUGCUAAAAUAUGCCCUUUGACACCAUGAGAAUCUGUGAAGUCUUCAAAGUAUCAUGUAUGGAGUAUAACCUACCCCAAGUGAACUAAAUAAAAGGUAAUUAAUUGACUAAUUAAUGUUUUCUACGUUAUGUAUCAACGGUACUCUACACAUACAUAGCACUUAGCAUACAGCAGUUUCAGUGAGUGCACUGAGUGGUAUAGUUUGAUGUAGACUGCUUCAUACAGCUUUUCACAUGAUGUGUGUGGCACAUAGUUUCAGUUUCACUUCAGGUCAGUCUGGGUCUCACCUCACUUACCUGAGUCCAUCUCAUCCACCUCCAUAUUGCUGCAGGUGGUAGGGUGGAGAUAAAGAGAAUGGAGAGAGAGAGAGAGAGAGAGAGAGAGAGAAAAAGAACAGAGAGAGAGAGAGAGAGAAAGAGAACAGAGAGAGAGAGAGAGAGAGAAAAAGAGUGAGAGAGGAAAGAUGUGCUGACAUUUCUGCAUAAUUAAAUCAUCACACUGCGUCCAUCGGCCUGACUCCGUACAUUGCUCAAUUACACACACACACUCACACACACACAUCCUUGUCCGUCACACCCUGAUAAACUUGCUCAGCCAUCCAUGUGACCAACCCUCCCACCCCAGCGCUGGGACACGCUUGUCUUAUUUGGCCACUGUUGUCCCAAAACUGCUUACAUAAACAGACAUGUACAUCAUUUCAGUUUUGUUGGCACAUUCUUUGCAAGCAUGGCUCAAACGACUUGUGUGGUGGUCAAGAGGGUAGCGGCGGCACAUCGCACCCCAGCGCCAAGCUGGCUCAAGGGGAGGAUGACUACUUCAAUUCCUCUCAUUUCUGUUGAUUUAUUUCACUGCGACAUCAGCCCUCUCCUCAUUACAUUACUAUAAUGACUGAUAGCCUCCUUCGCCAGGAUGAGAAAGCAGAUUCCUCCCUGCUGCUUAACCACGGCCAGAGCCGAACUAAUUUUAGCAGACCCCGGCGCCGCGCCGUGUCAACCAGAAUGAGGGUGGCGUACCAAUAAUGAUUCAAUGACUACAUCAAUUCAGGAGAAAGUUUCUGAACUGAAGUUGCUUAGCGGGUCGAACAAAUGCUGAUGACGUACAGAGACAGCAGUGGGACGUCUGAAUAGGCUGACGUAUUCCCAGCAGCCAUUGGAGCUUACCAAACAAGGACAGGUUCUGCAGAAGAACUGCUUUUGUCAUGAGCACAGAGACCCUCUCAGUCACAAUCACAGGAGUCGUUACAAACCCAAGAUAAUCGUCGUAUGAAAGAUAGCUUCACGUUGCUUUGCUUCGGAGAAGUAAUAACUAGAACAGUCUGACAACAGCAAUCACAGCAGACCUAUUUAGGGGCAAACCAGAGGUUAUUUCAAAUGUAUCAAAGCAAAUCCCAGACAGAGGCGGUCUCGGUAACCCAUCCAGUCCAGACCUCACCCAGAUGCGGGCCAGAUUGGAUCAGGGUUGGAUGAGUCAGCUACUAAGUAGGUUGCUUGUGUGCCAGAAGGACGGCGCUGCCUGCAACACCUCAUUAUCUGACAAUGAAGUAACACAGAAUAGAGCACAGAGAGAAAGAGAAAGAGAGAGGGGGAGAGAGAACAAAGGAGCAUCUCUGAAGUACCCAGCAGUUCAAAUAUAGCUAACCAUCUGAAUAAGUGAUCAGACUCUUAUGUAUGCUAACCCUAAAUCAUUGAAAACAAGAAGAUACUGUCAGGUAGUUCGCACAUUCUGCAGCUUGGAAUCAAACUGACAAAAAUACACUGUUAAUAAAAUGAACCUUUCAUAUGUGACAUUUCUGAAUUGGAUUUCAUUAUUCCACUGUUCAACGACUCGUGCCACAUUUAGCUAUAUUCGCCUCUAUGUAAAGAUGUCUAAAAUGUCAUAUUACUUGAAGAGGUGAAUAAAAGCAUGGCACCCCUUGGGUCUGUUGGAGCCCCAUCUGUUUGUGUGAAAUCUGCAAAGAUUGCUCUGAGAUAUUUCUGUGGGGAGUCAUGGUGACCUAAGACGUCAUGCACCUGCGUGAGGAGGGACAAGCUUUGACACAGGACAAAAAAAGCCUCCCUUCACUCCCCUGUUUACAGUAAGACCCUGAAGGAGUCUUUGGACAAAAAAAGCUUCCCUCUGCCAAUAGCCGUCUCUCUGAGGCUUGAUUGUGUCAUAAAAGGAGGACGAAUCAAUUCAAAGACCCGAAGCUAGAAGGAAAAACAGAAAAAGAAUGAAAGUAAAAAAGAGAGGAAAGAUGAAGGAAAACAAACAGAAGUGUUGCCACGCUGACCAGAAAUCUGCUUGAUUGAUCAAGGUCUUUAUAGGAGCCCCUGGCUGCUUUUUGUUCAUUUACGAGAGACGGGAAAUAAACGACAGGGGCUUUUUUAGAACUCUGCCACUCUUUAAAUUUGUCACUAGGGGUUGUGUUUGUCCUCCCUUGGUGUGUUUGUGUGUGUGUGUGUGUGUGUGUGUGCAUUUGCGAGAGAUUGUAUGUAUGGGAUCAUUUGUGAAAGUGUACAUCAUGUUUGGGGGCGAGUUAUUUCUUUAUGUGUGUGUGUGUGUUUGUGUGAAUAUAUGUGUGUGUAUUUGCUUUCAUUGGUAUGUGCAGUAUGUUUGUGUGUCUGCAUGGGACUCCGUUUGUGUGUGUGUGUGUGUG